Molecule: long non-coding RNA, 5284 nt
Organism: Ostrea edulis (European flat oyster)
Lineage: Eukaryota; Metazoa; Mollusca; Bivalvia; Ostreida; Ostreidae
Exons: 2
Source: RefSeq, a predicted model, not a curated record
CACAGAUUAUAGAAUUUGUAGCAUCAAGAAAAUUCCAGUGACUUCCCUUACCAAAAUGUAAAGUUUGCUGCAAAUUUGCCGCAAGUUUGCUGCAAGUUUGCGGCAAACAAAUCAGUGUGCCAGAGCUGUUUGCCAGAAGUGUGCAGCUAAUGCCGCUAGCGGCAUACAGUGUGCCACUAGCAGUACACAGUGUGCCACUAGUGGCACAGUGUGCCAGAAGUGCACCACAACUUUUCCUAAAUGAAACAGUGUGCCAGAAGUGCACCACAACUUCUUCUUUGGUAUUCAGAAUCAAAACUGUGUGCCAGAAGUGCACCACAACUUUUUCUUUGGUUUUCAGAAUCGUGUGCCAGAAGUUCACAACUUUUUUCUUAAAAUUUUAGAACUGAAACAGUAAGGGUACCAAAGUUCACGACUUUUUCUUGAAUAUUUAGAAUAAAAGAGCCAUAUCAAUAUAUCCAUCACAACAUUUUCUAUAAUAGAACAUAUGCAACAUUUCUCGCACCCCCUUCAAUCGAUCUUCUUGUCUUAAUGGGAAUUAGCGGUCAUUUUGUCACCAAAUAUUGAAUUCAAUGAAAGUUGCCCUAUAAUAGAUAUUAUAUAUUAAAGUAAUAAUUACACUUGUAUUUAAUUAUUUCAAACACCUUUUAACAUCUUGAAAAAGAAUAUGUGAUUUUGGUGAUUGAAUAUUAUUGUCUUGCGAGACAGUAUAAUUAUUCUCUAGUUACCUUUGCAUGCUGUCAGCAAAAUGUAUUUGUUGUUUUUGUUUAUAUUUGAGAAAUGAUUUAAUUGGGGUGCAGUGAAUACUUCUUCCGUAUAUAUAUUUCUUUACAUUAAAAGCGGUUAUCUAACAUAGUUUUAUUAGGAUUAAUUUUCUUGUUUUUGUACAUAAUAAAAAAUAAAUGUUCUUAUUAGUCAUCAAUAUAUAUUUCAAUAUCAUCGAGAGAUUUUGAGAGAAAAAUAGUUGCCAUCACUUUCACAGCUAAUGCCCCUUUAAAGUAAGAUGUAAGUGCACAGGUAUCUGAAUUUUAAUCUAAUUAUUUCAAUUAUUUAUUGAUUCACCAAGCAUGUUGGCAUACAAUCAUGUUACACAAUAUGAGAUAUAUAAUGACAAUAAACUAAUUACUAACAGUUCAUUUACAUAUAUGUAAAUACAAGUAUAUAUUUGAUAUGUACCUGUGAUAUUAGACUAUGUAUACAAUUUAGUAUUGCAUAUAUUACAUAAAUUAAAUGUAGUUAUAGCACUCUACUUUUGGUGCGCAAUUCAAAACAUUCAUGGAAAAAUUAAAUGUAGUUAUAGCACUCUACUUUUGGUGCGCAAUUCAAAACAUUCAUGUAAAAAUUCAAAAAACCUUCUAGCAUGAACUACAUUGACAGGGUUGCAUAGUACUUUACAAUGGUUUUCCUUUGAUAUAGCAUCGUGUGAAUUGUAGAUGUUCAAAGGGUAAUAGUUAAUAUUUAUCAUUUCCAUUAGUGGAACUCUUCAAAUUAAAGGCACGUAAAGUCGUGCUACCGGGACAAAAUAAUGUAAAUACAUUACUUAGGCAUACGUAAUAUGAAUUAUGGUAUCGAAUACAUAUUAUAACCGACUGCAAACCACACCACUGAUUAAAAUUCUAAAGUCAAAUUUAGGAAUUGAUUAUUCUUAAAAGAAAACAGACGAUAUCAAACUAUGUGAGGGAGAGAAGCUACUAAAUUUGCCAAAUCUGACCGUACCGAUAUAAAGCAUCAAUCGCAAGAAGAACUGUGAGGAGAAAAACCUAUAUGCACAUCCAACACAAGAAAUUUUCUUGUAAUUAAUGUGAGUAAUAUGUUUUUAAAGUUAUUCUGUCAGACUAUGAAGAUAUUCUAUUUUAUCAUACAAUUAGGACAGGUUCAUAUGGCAUGGACUUUGUAAUCGUAGACGUACCCCCCCCCCCCCCCCCCCUCCCCCCGGUCAAUCUCCAUAUAUUAGAACAAGUUAUAUACAUUUAUAUGCCAAACUGCAUUUUUUAAAGACGUUUAUAACACUAAUUAACACACCUAAUGCGUUUCCAAACUGCAUCUAAGCUAAUUUGAAAAUUACAAAAUAUUGAUGGACUUGGAUGUCCAGAGAACAUCGUUGUUUGGAAUUUUUAAAAUAGGUGUGGUGGAGUUUAAAAAACAUGUAACAUCUUUAAUAAGAUGGUGUUAGAAUAUUUGAAAAAUGCAGUUUGACUAAAGGUAAUUUUAUUUAAAAAUACACCAUGUAUUUUAACUCUUAACAAAUGGGGUGGGGGUGCUAUGUACGUUUCGUUCCGUUUAUGUCCCAGUAAUCUCGCACUUGCUCGCGAGAUUUGUGCAUUUUCUUACCAAUGACGCACAAGAGUCAUCAAAGCGCGAUAACUCUAACGAGCUGGUAAUGAGAAGUAUUAGAAAAAAAUGUGAAGAAAUUUUUUUUUUAUAUCUAAAUAAAUGGAGAGAGAGAGAGAGAGAGAGAGAGAGAGAGAGAGAGAGAGAGAGAGAGAGAGAGAGAGAUUUCUUUUCUUUAUUUACAUGUAUAUCUGUUGAUUACAGUUCAGAUACUGGGUUUGUGAGUUGAAAUUAAUCAAAUGAGAGUGGUAAAAAUCCACCUUUAUAUGUAUAAUUUACAUAUCAGGAUUUUAUCCAGGUACGUUAUUCUGGUUUGUGGAAUGCUAAUUUAUACUAAGUUAGAAUAAUCUAAGCUGUAUACCAAAGUAGGUCUUCAUGGGGCUUUACGGCUCUAUGCAUCGUAAAUAGAGAUCGGGUUCAAUGCGUCGGGUGUGGGAUUCACACAAUAUAUGCUGAGCGCGAAAGUUGAUAUUGACAGGCGCCAUAAUGUUAUACCGGUAAACAACAUUUUGAACAUGAAUCGAGAACAGGAGUUGAAUCAGUUGAUGCAGAUAUUCUGAGGAGAAUCUUCCAGUCAUUGAAAUAUAUUUCAUGAUAGUCAUGCAGAUUCAGAAGUUGUGAUGGUGUGUUGAUAGGCUGUCUUCAACUUGCCAUAUCUUAGAGUUCCAACAUGCAGGCCUGGAUUAAUGUGUAUAAAUCACUAAUGAAAAAAAGAAUGACAUUUCAAUUUAUACACACUUGCCAAGUGAAUCUGAUGAGACUGCUACAUGUAUUUGUGAGUAAAGGCACUCUGUCUUAACCGAAAAACUAUUUACAGUUUAUCACAACAAAUGGAUGGGACAGUAGAGCUGUUGCGGACAAUAUGUGAUUGUGAUGACCAAGUACUGAACAAGUGGAAGAUUAGAAGAAGGUCCAGAAUUCAAUCAUGUUUUUGAUUCUAAGGUCCACACAGCAUGGAGAUAGUCCUAUUAUUCUCCCGUUCAUCUAUGAUGGAGAAACUUGUGUAAAUGUUUAGUGUUCUCCCUAAUAAUUAAGUGCCCACAAGUCUGUAUUAAUUUAUCAGAAUAUAAAGUCCUUCACAGUACUGAUUUUAAAAUUAAUGUAGAUUGUCUCCAGAUUUUUCUGAGGAAAAGUGCAUAGUUUACAUGUGUGAAUUUUGAAUAUAUUUCAUUCUUGUCUGCAAAUGUUGCCGAAACCUGUUGUUAUUGAUGCACAGUCAUGUUAUGCAAAUGAUAGACCUUCUUAACUACAUGUACAGAAGAUCAUGUCAACUCCUUUGUCUUAAUUGUAUACACAAUUCUAGCAUUUAUAGCAUCAUUUAUAUAGCACUUGCUAGCUUAAGAAGGAUUUUAUUUUCUAAAAGCUUUCAUUUGACAUGAUUGAUCUAAAACGACCAAAAUUCACAAAUCUAUUUAAAUCACAACCUGACCUUAUGUCAGAAAAGUGCCACUGUGGGUUGAUAUUUUUCUCUUGGAUCUUGAAAGAAAUUCUUUAUGCAGCAGUUUCCAAAUAAAAUGUACUCUCAUGGCCAGGGUGGGACUUCACUGAGAACUUUUUAACAUUGCACAAUGCAAUAUUUGUAGAUUAGAAGUUGUUGCAGUUUCUUUAAGUUUUCUCUCACAUCUUGUUAUAAUUAUAUUUUAUAUUUUUGGUUGGGUUGCACAAUGUGCAAACAGUUUAUAAAAUGGUGAAUGACUCAGUGGUGGGCAAGCGACAGUAGCGUCCCUGUAAUAGUACCUACUUUGUGUAAUCAACUCCUUUCAUACCUCUCACUUGAUGUUCCUUAAACUUUGUACAGUUGUUAGGGAUACAUUGAAGAUGUGCAUGUGCCUUUUUGAAAGUGAUCAGACAUUUUUUGAAAAAUUUACAUGUAGUUGAACUUCGUCAUUUUUAAGCAUUUCUUUAAUCGACAGUACCUAUUUUGUGUAAUCAACUCCUCGUAUACCUCUAACUUGACAUUCCUCAAACUGUGUACAUUUGUUUUGAACACAUAGAAAAUGUGCAUAUGUGUUUUUGAAAGUGAUCAGACAUUUAAAAAAAAAUGUAUAUGUAGUUGAACUUAGUCAUUUUUAAGCAUUUCUUGAAUAGAUGGUAACUAUUUUGUGUAAUCAAAUCUUCAUGCACCUCUAACUUGACAUUCCUUAAACUUUGUACAGUUGUUAUGAACACAUUGAAGAUGUGCAUGCAUCUUUUUGAAAAUGAUUAGACUUUUAAAAAAAAAAAAUUAUGUGUAGUUGAACUUGGUCAUUUUUAUGCAUUUCUUGAAUAGAUGGUACCUAUUUUUUGUGAUCAACUCGUGCACAUCUAAAUUGAUAUUCCUCAAACUUUGUACAGUAGUUAUGGACACAUUGAAGAUGCGCAUGUGUCUUUUUGAAAGUGAUCAGACUUUUUUCCAAAAAAUUACAUUUAGUUGAACUUUGUCAUUUUUUAAGCAUUUCCUGAAUAGAUGGUACUUAUUUUUUGUAAUCAACUCCUCUUACAGCAUUUAUUUGACAUUCUUCAGACCUUGAACAGCUGUUAUGGAAGCAUUGUAAAUGUGCAUGUGUCUUUUCAGAAGUGAUCAGGCAUUCUUUGAAAAAUUUACAUGUGCAUGGUGAAGUUGAACUUAGUCAUUUUUUUAAGCAUAGUACUUUAUGUAACCAACUCAGCUUUUACUUAACAUUUUCCAGACCCUGUACAUUAUAGAUGUUUUAAAAACAUUGAAGAUAUUCAUGUAACAUUUUAAAAAUGCUUCUCUUUUUUUUUUUUCUCUCUUUUUUGUUAUUGAAAAAUUCUACCUUUAAUUUGUCAUUUUCCCAGUAUAUGUUUCUACUGUUGUUCCUAUGAUAGAGAACAUAUUUUACAAGAACCCGGUCAUUUCUGUUUUUGAAUAAUUUUUUUUUAAUUAGUAUUUUUGAAUAUGUUAAUUACUUGAUAUGUCAUUGUUCUUGAAAUUAUAUUAAUUGAAUUGUUA